UCUUGUGGCUGGCUAAAGCGAUGCUGCUUUUCUCUCUUUCAGCCUGAGGUGGUGAGCAUCGGUGUAGCUUUGGACCUUCCUGUCCCACAAGAUUAAAAGUCAUACUAAAACACUUAAGAGUGAAGAUGUGGUUCAAGGCCCGGUGAGAAUGAAGAAGACCCACCAACCCAGGCCUUUUUGCUUGCCCGAGGUAUUAAUUACUUUGAGGUUGUGAAAACAGUAUCUGAUGAAAAGAGUUGAAAAGAGGGUGGAUUUAUUUUGGCUCACGGUCCUAGGGUUAAGUCCAGCGUGGUAGAGAAGCUACAGAGACAGGAGAUUCGUGGACAGCACACAUGGCUAGGGUUCUGCAUCUCAGCUCCUCACGGAACAGGAAGUAGAAGGAUGACAGGAAGUAGGGCAAGGCUAUUGGACGUCAAGACCGGCCUUACAAGGGCCUUUUUCCUCCAGCUAAGCUCCACGAACUAAAUAUUCCUAACGUCCCCAAACAUCACCCGCAGCUUAGGACCAACUGUUCAAACACAGGAGUCUCUGGGGGACAUUAUAACCCGAAAGGUAGCACGUGGCUAAAAUUGGUUAGAUUUGGAUAGCAACUCCCAUUUCGAACCGGAUGUGUGAGUUUUGUUUCCGUAGAUCUGCUCCCAGUCGCCUUCAUUUGUAUAGUUUAACAUUUGAGUCUGUGACUCUUUAUUCGGCGACAUUAUUUGCGUUGAUCGCUGUUCCUUCACUCACGUUGCUUUAAGGGGACGUGUGAAAAGAUCCGGUGACGUCCACCCAGCAUGCCUCUGCCAAGUCCGCUCUAAAUCUAACUGUGGAUGGAUCCUCUGGGACUAAGCAUACUCAGACACAGGAAAGGAAUUAACUUCACAAACGGCAGUUGAAUCCUCAUUGUGUACAUUUUAUUGUCAAAGAAGUAGGAGGGAGGGCGUGUGGAGAAGAAAGAAGGGUCAAGAGCCAUGGUUGUGUUCUCAAGAAAUCCAAGAGCUGUGUGACUGUUUACUUAACCCACGGUGCACUCAUUCGAAUAUGCCGGUGGACAUAUAAAGGUACUGCCUACUAGAUCAAAAGGGAAAGGUUUCAUGCUACUGUACCAUCCAAGAUGCUGCUUGUGGAUUGCCUGAGAUCAUAACAGGUAACAAGCAAAGAGAGCCCUUAUUACAGAUGAAUCCGAAGUCAUUACAGGGAGGAAAAUGGCUCUUCCCUUGGGACUCGCUCUUGUUUAUCUUGGCCUCAGAACUACAUUUUCUACAACUGGUACCCUAGAAAGCCACUACAUACUAGUAAAAAGCAAAGUUCACCCAGAAGGUGUCACAACUUCAUCUAUGCCCUGAUGUUGGAGUUCCUAGUUCUAUAAAGUAAGCAGUAGAAAGCUUAAGACUGAUACAACAAGGAAAGAAGGCUUCAGGACCCGACCGUCAUCUUUACGUGAGUCACUUGAACUAAAAAAUCAGCAAAGAAACUUUAGAGAUGAAUGAUAUCAUAAAUCAGUCAGCUGUAGCAGGAAUUUCCACCAAAUGUAUGAGGAACAUCCAUUCUGUUAAGCAAUUUGUGAAGACAUCCCUAAAAUCACUCACAGUAUAGGCCAUAAAACAACUUUUAUGAAUUUCAAACUUUGAUAGAUAUGCUUUGGAGAUGUGUAGCACUUGGCCCUUACGGUGCUAAUUUUUCUUCUUGAAAAAAAAAAGGUUCCUGUCAAUAUUUUCAACAUAAAUACUCCAAUGUUUCUGUUUGAAGCAUGUGAAUAUUUAAAUGUGCACAUUAAAGACUUUGAGAAAUUUGAUAUAAACACACAUACACAUACUUCACAAUAGAAAUCGAUCAAGUAUUUAUUUUAUCUGAUAUGUGCCAAGCACAUACGAUUACAGAUCUCUUUUUAUCAAAGUAGACACAUUAUCAUUUAGGGGAUAUUCAUUGUUAGGUGACCCAGUUUUCAAAGCCUGGCUUUAGUUUCAGAGAACUCAAGAGCGUGACCUAGCAGCGUUUUGAGAAAGCCAUGGACUUGUGAGACAGAUGUAGAGAAGGGUUUGAGAGAAAGUGAUUAUUGGCCAAGAAGAGUGUAGCCUGUGACCACAUUAGUGUCUGCAAAAUGAAGCAAACCCAUCUGUGUGCUAGAGAGGAGAAAUUUUCAUAUGCUGAUUUUAUUAGCAUGGUUCUUAUUUCCGAAGCAUCCCGAGGACUCUGUGGAAAACCUGGGUUAGUUGUGGUAGGAACAAAGACAGUUGUGUGAAGCCUGACUCUGUCUCACCCUGCCUGCUCUCAACCUGGGAGCUUCUGAGAAGAAAAUCACUAGCAAGCUAAAGCAGAUUUGUAACAACUUACCCCCACACCACUAUGCCUGACAGGGAUAACGGUGAAGGAGCCCCUGGCUUGCAUUUCGAAUGGGUUCUCAUUAAUUCAUAUUUCAUAUUCAUAUGCAUGACAAUGACUAAAUUUCAGAGCUUAAUUUCCCAAUCCCUUAGGGGACAUAGCAGAAUGAUCAUGAAUAUCUUGAAAUAAUGUGACUUAAACACUGUAGGUUUAAACAGCCUGUCUGAUUAUCAGAUUCAAAAAUGGUCUGGUGCCUGCUGUUCAUGUCCUGUGAUCAGGGUAGACAGUGCUCACUGAGCUAGAGACAGAGGUACCACAGUAUAACCCUGGUGUGGAGGUGGAUAUAGAUUCCUGUUAGAAACAUCAGGAGAAGUCAAUGAUAAGUAGAGAAUUCUGGGACAGGAGAUGGGAAACACAGCGAUGCUCUCCGAGUUCGUGACACACUAUCAGGAAGGUGCCAGACACCAUCUAUCUGUAGAGAUAAAUGUGUGCCGAGAUGAAUAGCAGAUACUUAACUUAUAAAGAACACGUAGUAUAUAGUACUGGAACAAAACAGAGGUAAGAGAGUCUAGAUUUAUUUUACAGCCCUUUCACAGAGGACAACAAACCCAUCAUUUUAAAAAAGAAAAUAUAAAUAUAAAUAGUUAUAAUAUGCUAGACGUCUGCCGCUCUGAGACAUGCUACACCAAACAAUUAGCAGUCAUAUUGUUUUAGUCCUCGAGCCCUUAGAUGAGGAGCUAACCUUGUUCUGCAUUACAGUGGUUGUGUUAUCUGUUUACCGGUUGCUCUCCCUCCAAAACCCAGCCUCAAAUUACUAAUUAUUAGUUACGUAGGUGAUGGGGAUAGUAAUGGUGGUGGUGAUGAUGCCCUUGAUGACGACAGUGGUGACCGCGAUUAUUUCUCAUGAGCUUAUGGCCCAGGAGAGUCAAUUUCUCUGUUCAACUUGAUGCAACCAUGUCCUUAGUUGAUGAAAUACUAUUUUGAGUUGUAUGUGGAAACUAGAGGAAUUUCACUUGAUUACCUGAUUGGCUGGGAAGGAUGACAAAUAGCCAAUUGCUGGGCGGAAAAUAAGGAGGUGGGUUUUCCGGGCAAGACAGGAAGACAAGGCGGGGAGGAGGAUUUGGAGGAGAUGGUGAAUGGCCGAUGACAGUGGAGAGUUGUUGAAAGGAAGAUGAAGCAGAAGCACACAGCCUGGGGAAACCACAAGCAGCAGGGAUUUUGUAGCAGGGGAAGGAAGUAUUAUAGAGGUGGAUCUGUCCCAAUAUAAAGUGUGGUUUAUAAAUAUACAACUAAGUUGCGUUUUCCUUGCAAGGACUAAUGGGAGUUGGAGAUUCACUGCAACAAAGUUGCAUUUUCCUUGAAUGGGCUUUUUGUGGUUGGCAAUUUGCAACAGGAAAUAGUAUUUGAAUUAGCAAAUUGAAUAAUGAAAGGCUUCCUCUCCAAGGUGAACCGACAUUUGUUAACCUGUUUAUGGUUUGAGUAGAGCAAAAUCAUUGAGAAAGGAUUCACUUGCUGUCUUUGAGCUGACACAUCCAUCUCUACCUGUUCCUGGCUCCUUAGCUGUCAGGAUAGUUUAAGAGGAAGCAGAAAGAAAAGGGAGUUUGAGGGUCAUGUUUCUAGAGAAGUUAUUUUGGAACUCUACUCUCUCCAAAAAGCACAGAAAAAAAUCCUAUUUAGCCCCCAAAGAGGGAACAAUUUGCAGCCUGGUAAAGAUAGCAGCAUGACACCUUCCCCCCACCCCUCCAGUCUUGUGAAGCCCACCAGAAGGAGGCAUGCCUAUGUAGCAGUCAAAACCAAAACUCAAAAUGAACUACAAGAACCAAGCUGGUGGUAGAUGAUUUGAGAGUUGAUGACCAAAGGAAAGCAUAAAGCAGGGUGAUUGUGGGUGAUUUAAAAAGAAAAUAUUCAUAAAGUAAAAUUUCCUACAGACAAAAUCAUUAAAAACCACGUCCAACUGGAACCGAGCCAAGGAACGCAAAAACAAGAGCACAGGAAAGACAACACGAUAAGACAAAUGAGAUAUGAGAGACAAGUUUUAAAAAUAAUUUUGUGAUAUGAAUAAAGCUUCUCCCCUCCAAAAAGCAUCAGAGAUGUUAGGAGACCUUAGAUAGUUCAACAAAUCAAAACCAAAGAUGUGUAACCCAGGAUUUAUGGAAUUCAGGAUCAGUGGAUAAAAUUCACACAGACUCAUGAGCCCAAUUAGCAUGUAAGUCAACUUCCAUCACUGUAACAAAAAAAACCUGAAGCUGGUCAGUUACAGUGAAAGGGGUUCACUUACCUCAUAGCGUUGGAACCUUGAAGCCCAAGAUGGGGAGACUGAGCUCAGCCUCUGGUUAGCUCCUCCCCACUCCUGCCCACUGACCCACAAUACACACCAGCAAUGGAAACAGCACCAGCUGUAUUCAAGAGGUAGGGAACACGCCUUAUGUUAAGGACAACAGUCUACUCUUGGGACAGUGUAUUCCCUGAGAGACACUUAGAGUACAUUCCCCGAGAGACCCUUAUAGCCAGUGGCCCAGGGAGUUAAUUACUUUUACUAAACCCUACCUUUAAAAUGAUGUAUCUAUUUCCAUUUAUGAUUUUAUGUGUAUGAGUGUUUUGUCUGUCUGUCUGUCUGUCUGUCUGUACAUAUGUACUUAUGCAUCUAUUAUUAGUGUCUCUGCAGAGACCAGAGCGCUUCGUAAGAUCCCUUGGGACUAGAGUUACAGGUGGCUGUGAGUAGCCCUGUGUGGUUGUUAGGAAAUUAACUGGCUCCCCUGCAAGAGCACCAAACCCUCUCAAGGCCUGCACCAUCUCCCCAGGGCCAAAGGACCUUAAAAAGCCGCACCUCAACAUUGACGCACUGGAGACUAAACUUCUGGCACGUGAAUUCCGUCAGGAAUGCACUGCAGCCAAAGUUGUACGUCCCACUGACCAGCUGGAAUGUGUCAGUUUUCAACAAAACCAACAAGUGCACCAAAGAGUCUUAACAGCACCCCCACCCCCGCGCCCCAAGGUUUUCAUACAAUCACCAUCCGUGUAGGCCUGGGGAGAUGGCUCAAUCAGAAAAUGCUCGCCAUGCAAGUGUGAGGGCCAGGGUUCAAUCUCCAGGCCACGGUGACUUACACUGUAGUCGCAGAGCCGUGGAAGUAGGAAGAGAUGGUUACUGAGUCUCAUUGGUCAGUGAGCUGAGUCUGUCUGAUGAGGUCCAAGCCAGUAAGGGACACCAUCAUAACGAACAGUGCUGAUGACUUCUGUGGAAGGACACCUUGGGUUGACCUCCAGCCAUAUUGGGUAGCCAUGUACAGGCACACACAAGCACGGGCACAUGCAUCACACUCCAACAAACUUGCUCACACAUCUACAUGUGCAAUGUGCCCGUAUGCACACACACAUAGUCACUCUGUAUCAAAUCAAAGUUCUCAAAAAUAUAUUCAACACAACGGCUUCUUAGGCUUACACGUGACUCUAUUUAGAUCUUAUUAUUCUAAACCCGCACCAUAUUAAUGUCUUAAUAAUGAAGUGUAAUGAAAAUACACAUACAGUGAGGAGAAGUGGAUUGCUGUUAUAUCAUACAUUUAAAUUAUUGAUAUGAUUGCUGUAUCAUUAUAACUUGCUUCCUUCGAAAUUCCGUGCAUUCAAUCUUGUGCAUCUAAAAGUAUUCUGAGAUGGGGGCUGGUGGUUUCAACAAAUUGUUAAAAGUCUCCAAAGCACAACAAAUUACUUAUUUCUAUUAGUUGCUGGACAUAAGUUGCCAUUUAAAAAUGCUCCUGAAAUGGAGAUAAUUUGAUAGUACUGAUCAAGAGGUCUAGAAUAUUAACCUAAAAUGGUCAAAGCCAUUGUUUCUUAAAAAUCAUCUGUCUAUCUACCUAUCUAUCAUGUCUCUAUCUAUCCAUACAUACAUAUGUUCAUACACUUAUUUGUCUGUCUGUCUAUCCAUCCAUAUAUUCAUACAUAUGUCUGUCUGUCUGUCUGUCUAUCUAUCUAUCUAUCUAUCUAUCUAUCUAUCUAUCUAUCUAUCAUCUAUCUCUAUUCAUCUAUCUACCUAUCCAUACAUCCAUACAUACAUUUGUCUAUCUCUCCAUCCAUAUAUUCAUACAUUUGUCUGUGUUUGUCUAAUGUGUAUGUGUCUUUGACUUUGUGAGUUUCUGUGUACCACAUGUAUGGCCAGUGCCCUCAAAAGCCAGAAGAGGAUUCUAGAUCCCCUGGACCUGGACUCAGAGACAGGUUUGAGCUGUGAUGUCCGUACUGAGAAAUUAACCUCGGUCUUCAAUAGCAAUGAAUGCUCUUAACUACUGAACCAGUUCUCAAGUCCCAGCUGAAUUUUACACACACACACACACACACACACACACACACACACACACACACACACACUCUCACACACAUACACUCACACACACACACACUCGCACACAUGCAUACUCACACACACAUAUACACACACUCACAUGCACACACAUAUUCACACACACACUCACACACACUUACACACACAUUUAUACACACACAUACACUCACACACAUACACACUCACACACGCACACACACAGACACACACUCACACACAUGCACACGCACACACUCACAUGCACACACACGCAAACAUAUGCAUGAACACACACGUGCACACACACAAGCACACAUGCACACACACAUAUAUUUCUUUUAAAGAAAACAUCAUUCAGGCCGUCUGCUGAAAAGACCCGCAGAGAGGGUGGGGGCAAAAAAAAAAAAGACCCACGGAAGGAAGUGAGACAGCCAGCAGAACUUUUAACAGCAGCACUUGUGUGAUCAAAGAAUAUUUUAUCAAUGUUUUAGAGUAGCUAUGGAAAUAAAUGUGAGCCCCAAAUCUCUUGUUCAGCCAAACUGACUGUUAAGGAAAAACAACCUGUUGUCGACUGAUGCCAACAUACAAGAACAUAGAGAAAGGCACUGGGGAGACGGGUCAGCGAUUAAGAGCACUUGCUGUCUGGCAGGAGGAAUUUGGUUCCCAGCACCGAGCUUGAGUAGCUGACCACUGUGUGACGCCAGUUCCAGGGACUUUGAUGCUUUCUAAUGGCUUCUGUGAACACUGAGUGCAUGCGCAUACACACACACACACACACACACACACACACACACACACACACACAUUGAGGGCCCAGACAAUAUUUUUCUCAUUCGUUCUUCUUACCAAACUACAGUGGGAACAAACAGCAUGUGAGAGUAAGCAUUCUUGAGUCUUACAUGGCAUCUUGGCAUUGCUGGAACAUCCAAGCUCAUGAAUCAUCUCGCUAAUCAUUUCUUUUCUUCAUGUUUUACAAAAGUAUUAGCCCUUAAUAGAUUGAAAAUAAGAGAAAAAUCCCAGAAUGUAAAAAAAGGUUUCCAACAGCCACAUUUCCCUUAGGCACGAGUGGAAUUAAAUAUCAAUUUCCUCGUACAAUUGAAGACAAGAAAUAACUCUGAGGGACAUAGCCUAAUGUGUAAUGUGUACAUGACCUGACAAUACAGAUAAAUAAUCAUGCUGGAGAGAGAAAUCAUUCAGGAAUGCUUGCCUUAUAAGCACCGACACCUGAGUUCACUCCCUGGAACCGAACAAGCCAAUCGGAAGAAGGAUCAAGAACUAAGAGACCCUCAACAGACUACUCUAACAGAAGACUGUAGCCAUCUCCGUCCACUUUCUGUAGGUUCGGGGUAAAGCAUACCGUGGGUGAUCUUUGGGAAAGACACAUCUCCGUUUGCACCUCUGCCUCAGCUGCCACCACCUGGAGACGUGAAAGAUUCCCACUCAAGCAUUUGCCCUCUGGAGCCUGGGGUAUGGAUGUGUAAAAGAGCUCAACUCAAUCAAACCGUGAGAGACGGUGACUAUGGGAAUGGAGACGGUCCAGCGUGGGGCGCAUGCGCCCUGGUGAGAAGCUUCAUCUGAAAAGGAUUCUGUUGUCAUUGUGAGAUGUGACCACACACCCAUGCUUCCUUUGGGCGAGGCUGUCCUCCUCCUGAUGCUGUCAAGCCUCUAAGACUCAUGUUCACUCCUGAAUCUACUACAUCAGUGUGUCUCCUUUUCAUUUGUGUCCACUUCUCUUAGAAUAACAGCUGUAAGAACCAAGGCAAACAUAGAGCAUACCCAAGGCUGUAUAUUCCCAUUCUAUAACUGGGCAAAUAUCCUUAGCCCCAUGAACGCUGCUCCUUGAUGAAGAGGUGACAUCCAGUUUCUCAGAAGACAGAAAAUAGAAGAAACGUAAGUUGUUCUGAUCACCUUGAUUGAGCACCUGCUUCUUUUCUGAUACAUGUUCGAGUCAGGAAAAUGCACCCAGAGUGACGCCAUAAUUUCGCCUUUCACGGACACUCUCAACCGAGGUCUUUUGAGUGAAGAUGGGAAAGCAGUAGAACGAUCAGGAACCCGACAUGCAACAGGUACGAAGGGAAGCCCCUGAGUUUUAGUGCAGCAGUUCUCAACCUGUGGGUCCCAACCCUGACAGGGGUCACAUAUCAGAUAUCCCGCGUAUCAGAUGCUUACAUUGAGAUUCAUAAUGGUAGCAAAAUGACCGUUGUGAAGUAGCAAUGAAAUAAUUUUAUGGCUGGGGGUCGCCAAGUCUAAUACAGAAACUGUAUUAAGUAUUAUUAAAUAAAAUAUUAGCAUUAACACAUUAAAAUUUAAAUUCAUUAAAAUAUGAUGUAAUAUC
This is a non-coding RNA of Rattus norvegicus (Norway rat), 8948 nucleotides long. NCBI's taxonomy places the organism in Eukaryota, Metazoa, Chordata, Mammalia, Rodentia, Muridae. The record is from RefSeq and is a predicted model, not a curated record.